Molecule: ribosomal RNA, 783 nt
Filed under: uncultured Pelagibacteraceae bacterium
Lineage: Bacteria; Pseudomonadati; Pseudomonadota; Alphaproteobacteria; Candidatus Pelagibacterales; Candidatus Pelagibacteraceae
Description: bacterial SSU rRNA
Rfam family: Bacterial small subunit ribosomal RNA
Source: RNAcentral
ACAUGCAAGUCGAACGAAGUAGCAAUACUUAGUGGCAGACGGGUGAGUAACAUGUAGGUAUCUACCCUUUGGCCUGGAAUAACACGAGGAAACUUGUGCUAAUACCAGAUAAGUCUUUACGGAGAAAGCUUUAUGCACCAUUGGAUGAGCCUGCACUUGAUUAGUUUGUUGGUGGGGUAAUGGCCUACCAAGACUGUGAUCAAUAGCUGAUUUGAGAGGAUGAUCAGCCACAUUGGGACUGAGACACGGCCCAAACUCCUACGGGAGGCAGCAGUGGGGAAUCUUGCACAAUGGAGGAAACUCUGAUGCAGCGAUGCCGCGUGAGUGAAGAAGGCCUUUGGGUUGUAAAGCUCUUUCGUCGGGGAAGAAAAUGACUGUACCCGAAUAAGAAGGUCCGGCUAACUUCGUGCCAGCAGCCGCGGUAAUACGAAGGGACCUAGCGUAGUUCGGAAUUACUGGGCUUAAAGAGUUCGUAGGUGGUUGAAAAAGUUAGUGGUGAAAUCCCAGAGCUUAACUCUGGAACUGCCAUUAAAACUUUUCAGCUAGAGUAUGAUAGAGGAAAGCAGAAUUUCUAGUGUAGAGGUGAAAUUCGUAGAUAUUAGAAAGAAUACCAAUUGCGAAGGCAGCUUUCUGGAUCAUUACUGACACUGAGGAACGAAAGCAUGGGUAGCGAAGAGGAUUAGAUACCCUCGUAGUCCAUGCCGUAAACGAUGUGUGUUAGACGUUGGAAAUUUAUUUUCAGUGUCGCAGCGAAAGCGAUAAACACACCGCCUGGGGAGUACG